Molecule: ribosomal RNA, 419 nt
Filed under: uncultured bacterium
Lineage: Bacteria
Description: bacterial SSU rRNA
Rfam family: Bacterial small subunit ribosomal RNA
Source: RNAcentral
AAGGAAUAUUGCUCAAUGGGAGAAAUCCUGAAGCAGCAACGCCGCGUGGAGGAUGAAGGGUCUAUGACUUGUAAACUCCUGUAAAGAAGGAAAAAAUUCCCAUUAGAUGGGAGAUGAUGGUACUUCUGGAGAAAGCCCCGGCUAACUACGUGCCAGCAGCCGCGGUAAUACGUAGGGGGCAAGCGUUGUCCGGAUUUACUGGGUGUAAAGGGCGCGCAGGCGGAAUGGAAAGUCAGUGGUGAAAUCCUACAGCUUAACUGUAGAACUGCCUUUGAUACUUUCAUUCUUGAGUUCGGGAGAGAGAGACGGAAUUCCAGGUGUAGUGGUGAAAUACGUAGAUAUCUGGAAGAACACCAGUUGCGAAGGCGGUCUCUUGGUCCGAUACUGACGCUGAGGCGCGAAAGCGUGGGGAGCAAACA